This is a non-coding RNA of Stegodyphus dumicola, 73 nucleotides long. Lineage: Eukaryota; Metazoa; Arthropoda; Arachnida; Araneae; Eresidae. The record is from the annotation of a RefSeq genome assembly.
GCCUUCGUAGUGUAGUGGUCAGCACACUCGACGCGCAUUCGAGAGUCCCGGAGUACGAGUCCCGGCGAGGGCA